AUUCUGCCCAUGUGGGGAAGGAUGAAGCUUCGACUAGGUUCGAUUCGAGCGCAGCGUGCCGCAGGCAACGACGAAGGGGCAGCGCGCAGCGCUGGGUAUCCUUCCCCCACCACCA
RNAcentral lists this small RNA (115 nucleotides) under Salmonella enterica subsp. enterica. Its description in RNAcentral is "RtT sRNA". It matches the Rfam family "RtT RNA". Rfam says of the family: This family represents a bacterial cis-regulatory element known as RtT RNA. The exact function of RtT is unknown although it is thought that it may be involved in changing the cellular response in relation to amino acid starvation. The record is from RNAcentral. Lineage: Bacteria; Pseudomonadati; Pseudomonadota; Gammaproteobacteria; Enterobacterales; Enterobacteriaceae.